RNAcentral lists this ribosomal RNA (1405 nucleotides) under uncultured bacterium. Its description in RNAcentral is "bacterial SSU rRNA". It matches the Rfam family "Bacterial small subunit ribosomal RNA". The record is from RNAcentral.
GGGGGUUUUUUGCCUUGACCAUGCGAGUUAAUAUUUUUAAAAAAUAUAGCGAACGGGUGAGUAAUAAUUAGGAAUCUACCUUUUAGUAGGGAUAAAUCCCCUAUAAAUUUCUAUAAAAUAUAAUUUAUUAAAAAGAUAUAAAAUCGCUAAAAGAUGAGCCUGAUAAAGAUUAGGUAGUUGGUAGGGUAAAAGCCUACCAAGCCUAUGAUCUUUAGUUGGUCUGAGAGGAUGAUCAGCCACACUGGGACUGAGACAAGGCCCAGGCUUCAAUAGAAGCCAGCAGUGGGGAAUAUUGGACAAUGAGCGAAAGCUUGAUCCAGCAAUACUAAGUGGGUGAUUGACAGCUUCGGUUGUAAAGCCCUUUUGUUAGAGAGGAAAAUGACAGUAUCUAAAGAAAAAGCCCCGGCAAAUCUUCGUGCCAGCAGCCGCGGUAAGACGAAGGGGGCGAGCGUUAUUCAGAUUGAUUAGGCGUAAAGGGUUCGUAGGCGGCUUUUUGGGAUUCUAGGUGAAAUACUAAAGCUCAACUUUAGAAAAGCUCUGAAAUAAAACCUUAAAGCUUUGAGUUUGAAAGAGGAUAGUAGAAUUUUAGAAGGAGGGGUGAAAUCCAAAGAUAUCUAAAGGAAUACCAAAGGCGAAGGCAACUAUCUGGUUCAAUACUGACGCUGAGGAACGAAAGCUUGGGGAGCAAAGAGGAUUUGGUACCCUCGUAGUCCAUGCUGUCAACUAUGAAUGCUCGUGUUUUGGUUAUAAUACUGAGACACUUAGUUAACACGUUAAGCAUUCCGCCUGAGGAGUACGAUCGCAAGGUUGGAACUCAAAGGAAUUGGCGGGGAUCUAUACAAGUGGUGGAGCAUGUGGUUUAAUGCGAUAAUCCGCGCGAAAUCUUACCAGUUCUUGACUUGUUUUUUGUUAAAUAUAUAAAAAAUAACAGGUGUUGCAUGGCUGUCGUCAGUUCGUGUUGUGAAAUGUUUGGUUAAGUCCAUAAACGAACGUAACCCUUUUUUUGAGUUAGAGUUUUCUCUCUCAAAAUACUGCUUAUUGCUAUGCAAUAAGAGGAAGGAAAGGAUGAUGUCAAGUCCUCAUGGCCCUUAUGAACUGGGCUACACACGUGCUACAAUGGUAAAAACAAUAAGAAGCAACUUUGUAAAAAGAAGCAAAUCUUUAAAUUUUAUCUAAGUUCGAAUUGUGGACUGCAACUCGUCCACAUGAAGUUGGAAUCACUAGUAAUCGCAAAUCAGCACGUUGCGGUGAAUCCGUACCUAGAUCCUGCACACACCGCCCGUCACAUGCCGGAAAUAAACUUUACUUGAAAUUUUUUAAUUUUUAUUUCUAACAAAUUUUUUAAUAAUGAUUGAAUUAUUUUUGAUAUGUUGUUUUAUAAAAAUAAAGUGAAAAGAAGAGGGUC